UUAUGUAAGAAACACAAAAGUCACGGAAACCUUCCCUAAGUGCUCAUCGUGAAGUGUUAGCGACCACCGCAUCGGCGAGUACAAUGCCUCAAGUGACUCAUUGUCUCUUAACGGCUUCUAUGCCCUGACUCAUGUCCUAGCGAGAAAACGGCUUUUUGCACCUCCCAGGAUACCGGCAGCCGCUGACUGAAAACAAGAAACUUAACGGUAGAGGGGCAAAGAAAAGCAGCCCAAAGACUGCUCAGAUAUACGACUCUCCAGAAAGCCUUUGUGGAGUACACUGCUGCCAAAAUGGAAUUCUUCACGAUGCAAUCGAGCGCUGUAUUUCAAAAACCGAGGGACUUGCGGGGACUCCUUCACGCAAUAGAGAAAGGAGAGCAUUUAAAAAAUGGAUGAAUGACAGCAUUUCCUUCAAAA
Molecule: long non-coding RNA, 417 nt
Organism: Hippocampus zosterae (dwarf seahorse)
Lineage: Eukaryota; Metazoa; Chordata; Actinopteri; Syngnathiformes; Syngnathidae
Exons: 2
Source: RefSeq, a predicted model, not a curated record